Molecule: ribosomal RNA, 440 nt
Filed under: uncultured bacterium
Lineage: Bacteria
Description: bacterial SSU rRNA
Rfam family: Bacterial small subunit ribosomal RNA
Source: RNAcentral
CCUACGGGGGGCUGCAGUAACGAAUCUUCCGCAAUGCACGAAAGUGUGACGGAGCGACGCCGCGUGUAGGAUGAAGUCCUUCGGGAUGUAAACUACUGUCAGGGGAAAGAAAGUUCUGAUCUACCCCAGAGGAAGAGACGGCUAACUCUGUGCCAGCAGCCGCGGUAAUACAGAGGUCUCGAGCGUUAGGCGGAAUCACUGGGCUUAAAGCGUGUGUAGGCGGAUCGGUAAGUACCUUGUGAAAUCCCACAGCUUAACUGUGGAACUGCUUGGUAUACUGCCAGUCUUGAGCCAGCUAGGGGCGACCGGAACAAAUGGUGGAGCGGUGAAAUGCGUAGAUAUCAUUUGGAACGCCAAUGGUGAAAACAGGUCGCUGGGGCUGUGCUGACGCUGAGACACGAAAGCCAGGGGAGCAAACGGGAUUAGAUACCCUAGUAGUC